CCCCCCCCCAUGGCAGCAGUACAUUAAAACAUGGAUUGGACAUUGACUAAUAAUUAGCACUAAACUGAGGAGGUAGACUGCAGCAUGGAGCCCCCCCACGUUCACCCACACCGUCUGACCCCUGCGCCAGAUGUGUCCCAGUCGUGACAGGGCCUGCAAUCCAAAAACACAGCCAAAGAGUGGUGCUGGCUUCAAGUUUUUCAGGUGUAAAUAGGUUUGGAUUUCCUCUCACAGAACACACCUUAGCAAAGCAUUUCUUGUCCUGUGUCAGCAGCACAGCCCUGCCUGUCCCUGGUGUGCAGAUCCG
Molecule: long non-coding RNA, 307 nt
Organism: Calypte anna (Anna's hummingbird)
Lineage: Eukaryota; Metazoa; Chordata; Aves; Apodiformes; Trochilidae
Exons: 3
Source: RefSeq, a predicted model, not a curated record